AUUUUGCCAUAUAUUUCCUUCUUUUUCUUUUUUUGGCCCGUCUCCGCUUUCAGGUUCCUUUUCUUCCCCAGGUUGUUCACCCCCAGCCCUAGCCGCCGCCGCAGCCGCCGUUUCGUAGCUCCGAUCUCCGAUUGCCGCAAGACACCAAGAUUUCAGGUAGUUGGGCUGUGAGACAGGCUAAAACGAAUGAUGGCUUCACGAGGUACCGGUGCUGUGCUUUCAAGAGCUGCUCGGAUGAGGCAAAAGCUGCAGUCUGCCUUGGAGGCCAGUGCCCUAGAAAUUGAAGACGUUUCUUACCAACAUGCCGGGCAUGCAGCAGUCAAGGACAAUGCAAACGAGACACAUUUCAACAUCAAGGUAGUUUCACCAAAAUUUGAGGGGCAAAACCUUGUGAAGCGUCACAGGAUGGUUUAUAAUCUUCUGUCUGAUGAGCUGAACUCAGGUCUCCAUGCUAUCUCCAUAGUUGCAAAGACCCCGAAAGAGUUUGGAUCGUGAUUGUCUAAUGUGUAAUAAGAACUGGCCGGUGUUCCAAAAUAAAUUGAUUAUAGCAUAACCAAUGUAACCAUGAAUUGAUUCCAAAACUAUGUCAUGGCAUGCUGCUCUUCUUAUGAAGACCCUGUAUUCAGAUUAGACUGGAGUGCAGAAUUUAUGUCAAUUAUUACUGAUGGACAUGUCAAUUAUUGUUAGAUGCGACUAUGCGAGGCAAAUUGCUUUUUCUC
Setaria italica (foxtail millet) is the source of this 719-nucleotide long non-coding RNA. RefSeq lists it as uncharacterized. The record is from RefSeq and is a predicted model, not a curated record. NCBI's taxonomy places the organism in Eukaryota, Viridiplantae, Streptophyta, Magnoliopsida, Poales, Poaceae. The transcript has 2 exons.